RNAcentral lists this ribosomal RNA (583 nucleotides) under uncultured bacterium. RNAcentral describes it as "partial 16S ribosomal RNA". It matches the Rfam family "Bacterial small subunit ribosomal RNA", at positions 355 to 1375 of the family's 1533-position model. The record is from RNAcentral.
UGGGGAAUUUUGGACAAUGGGCGAAAGCCUGAUCCAGCAAUGCCGCGUGUGUGAAGAAGGCCUUCGGGUUGUAAAGCACUUUUGUCCGGAAAGAAAUCCUUGGCUCUAAUACAGUCGGGGGAUGACGGUACCGGAAGAAUAAGCACCGGCUAACUACGUGCCAGCAGCCGCGGUAAUACGUAGGGUGCAAGCGUUAAUCGGAAUUACUGGGCGUAAAGCGUGCGCAGGCGGUUUGCUAAGACCGAUGUGAAAUCCCCGGGCUCAACCUGGGAACUGCAUUGGUGACUGGCAGGCUAGAGUAUGGCAGAGGGGGGUAGAAUUCCACGUGUAGCAGUGAAAUGCGUAGAGAUGUGGAGGAAUACCGAUGGCGAAGGCAGCCCCCUGGGCCAAUACUGACGCUCAUGCACGAAAGCGUGGGGAGCAAACAGGAUUAGAUACCCUGGUAGUCCACGCCCUAAACGAUGUCAACUAGUUGUUGGGGAUUCAUUCCUUAGUAACGUAGCUAACGCGUGAAGUUGACCGCCUGGGGAGUACGGUCGCAAGAUUAAAACUCAAUGAAUUGACGGGGUCAUAGCUGUUUCCU